GACAGAGGGUGCAAACGUUGUUCGGAUUUACUGGGCGUAAAGCGCGUGUAGGCGGCUUUGCAAGUCGGAUGUGAAAGCCCACGGCUCAACCGUGGAAGUGCAUCCGAAACUGCAUGGCUGGAGUCUCGGAGAGGAAGGUGGAGUGCUUGGUGUAGAGGUGAAAUUCGUAGAUAUCAAGCAGAACACCUGCGGCGAAGGCGGCCUUCUGGACGAUGACUGACGCUGAGACGCGAAAGCGUGGGGAGCAAACAGG
RNAcentral lists this ribosomal RNA (253 nucleotides) under uncultured bacterium. RNAcentral describes it as "partial 16S ribosomal RNA". It matches the Rfam family "Bacterial small subunit ribosomal RNA", at positions 524 to 776 of the family's 1533-position model. The record is from RNAcentral.